GUGAGGAAUUUUGCGCAAUGGGGGCAACCCUGACGCAGCGACGCCGCGUGGAGGACGAAGUCUUUCGGGAUGUAAACUCCUGUCAGUGGGGACGAUAAUGACGCUACCCACAGAGGAAGCACCGGCUAACUCCGUGCCAGCAGCCGCGGUAAGACGGUGGGUGCAAGCGUUGUUCGGAAUUACUGGGCGUAAAGCGUAUGUAGGCGGCAAGUUAAGUUCAAUGUUAAAGCCCACGGCUCAACCGAGGAGUUGCAUUGAAUACUGGCUAGCUAGAGGGUGUUAGAGGAAGACGGAAUUCCCAGUGUAGCGGUGAAAUGCGUAGAUAUUGGGAGGAACAUCGGUAGCGAAAGCGGUCUUCUGGGACAUACCUGACGCUGAGGUACGAAAGCGUGGGGAGCAAACGGGAUUAGAAACCCUUGUAGUCC
Molecule: ribosomal RNA, 425 nt
Filed under: uncultured bacterium
Lineage: Bacteria
Description: partial 16S ribosomal RNA
Rfam family: Bacterial small subunit ribosomal RNA
Source: RNAcentral